Molecule: unclassified non-coding RNA, 370 nt
Filed under: uncultured fungus
Lineage: Eukaryota; Fungi
Description: sequence contains ITS1
Rfam family: 5.8S ribosomal RNA (bases 1-107)
Source: RNAcentral
GAAAUGCGAUACUUGGUGUGAAUUGCAGAAUCCCGUGAACCAUCGAGUCUUUGAACGCAAGUUGCGCCCGAAGCCUUAUGGUCGAGGGCACGUCUGCCUGGGCGUCACGCAUCGCGUCUCCCCCAACCCACCUCGUGUGGGCGGGGGGAGGAGGAUGGCUUCCCGCGCCUCACCGGGCGUGGCUGGCCUAAAAAAGGAGCCUCAGGUUAUGCACUGUGCGGCAAUUGGUGGUGGACAAGGCCUUGGCCUCGAAUGCAAUCUCGUGUCGUGCAGUACAUGGCAAUUGUGGGCUCGUAGGACCCUGAGUUGUUCCCAAUUGGAAACAAACCGUUGCGACCCCAGGUCAGGCGGGGCUACCCGCUGAGUUUAA